CCUACGGGAGGCAGCAGUGGGGGAUAUUGCACAAUGGGGGAAACCCUGAUGCAGCGACGCCGCGUGGGUGAAGAAGCGCCUCGGCGCGUAAAGCCCUGUCAGCAGGGAAGAAAAUGACGGUACCUGAAGAAGAAGCCCCGGCUAACUACGUGCCAGCAGCCGCGGUAAUACGUAGGGGGCAAGCGUUAUCCGGAUUUACGGGGUGUAAAGGGGGCGCAGACGGCGAUGCAAGCCAGGAGUGAAAGCCCGGGGCCCAACCCCGGGACUGCUCUUGGAACUGCGUGGCUAGAGUGCAGGAGGGGCAGGCGGAAUUCGUGGUGUAGCGGUGAAAUGCGUAGAUAUCAGGAGGAACACCGGUGGCGAAGGCAGCCUGCUGGACUGCAACUGACGUUGAGGCCCGAAAGCGUGGGGAGCAAACAGGAUUAGAUACCCCAGUAGUC
RNAcentral lists this ribosomal RNA (440 nucleotides) under uncultured bacterium. Its description in RNAcentral is "partial 16S ribosomal RNA". It matches the Rfam family "Bacterial small subunit ribosomal RNA", at positions 338 to 795 of the family's 1533-position model. The record is from RNAcentral.